RNAcentral lists this ribosomal RNA (717 nucleotides) under uncultured Paenibacillus sp. RNAcentral describes it as "bacterial SSU rRNA". It matches the Rfam family "Bacterial small subunit ribosomal RNA", at positions 236 to 949 of the family's 1533-position model. The record is from RNAcentral. Lineage: Bacteria; Bacillati; Bacillota; Bacilli; Caryophanales; Paenibacillaceae.
GCCUAUCAGCUAGUUGGCGGGGUAAAGGCCCACCAAGGCUACGACGGGUAGCUGGUCUUAGAGGACGACCAGCCACACUGGGACUGAGACACGGCCCAGACUCGUACGGGAGGCAGCAGUAGGGAAUCUUCCGCAAUGGACGCAAGUCUGACGGAGCAACGCCGCGUGAGUGAUGAAGGUUUUCGGAUCGUAAAGCUCUGUUGCCCUAGACGAACAGCAUGAGGAGUAACUGCCUUGUGUGUGACGGUAUAGGAGAAGAAAGCCCCGGCUAACUGCGUGCCAGCAGCCGCGGUAAUACGUAGGGGGCAAGCGUUGUCCGGAAUUAUUGGGCGUAAAGCGCGCGCAGGCGGUCAUUUAAGUCUGGUGUUUAAUCCUGGGGCUCAACCCCAGUUCGCAUCGGAAACUGGAUGACUUGAGUGUAAGAGAGGAAAGUGGAAUUCCACGUGUAGCGGUGAAAUGCGUAGAGAUGUGGAGGAACACCAGUGGCGAAGGCGACUUUCUGGCUUAUAACUGACGCUGAGGCGCGAAAGCGUGGGGAGCAAACAGGAUUAGAUACCCUGGUAGUCCACGCCGUAAACGAUGCAUACUAUGUGUCGGGGAUUCGAUUUCUCGGUGCCGAAGUUAACACAGUAAGUAUGCCGCCUGGGGAGUACGCUCGCAAGAGUGAAACUCAAGGAAUUGACGGGGACCCGCACAGCAGUGGAGUAUGUGGUUUAU